GACGAACGCUGGCGGCGUGCCUAAUACAUGCAAGUCGAGCGAAGAAGCUUGGUGCUUGCACCAAUUUGAAGAGCAGCGAACGGGUGAGUAACGCGUGGAUAACCUACCUUUGAGCGGGGGACAACAUUUGGAAACGAAUGCUAAUACCGCAUAACAACUUUAAACAUAAGUUUUAAUUUUGAAAGAUGCAAUUGCUUCACCCAAAGAUGAUACCCCGUCGUAUUAGGCAAUUGGUGAGGGAAAGGCCUAACAAGGCCAAGAAACAUAGCCGGCCUUGAAAGGGGGACCGCCCACAUUGGACUGGGGACAGGCCCCAGAUUCCUAGGGGAGGAGCCAGAAGGGAACUUUGGGCAAGGGGCGAAAGCUUGACGGAGAAACGCCGCGGGAGGGAGGAAGGUUUCGGAUCGGAAAACCCCGUUUAUAAGGGAAGAACAUGGUGGGAGUUAACAACUCAUGUAGUGACGGUAACUACUCAGAAAGCGACGGCUAACUACGUG
Molecule: ribosomal RNA, 497 nt
Filed under: uncultured bacterium
Lineage: Bacteria
Description: partial 16S ribosomal RNA
Rfam family: Bacterial small subunit ribosomal RNA
Source: RNAcentral